RNAcentral lists this long non-coding RNA (1435 nucleotides) under Felis catus (domestic cat). RNAcentral describes it as "lncRNA (ENSFCAG00000048717.1)". The record is from RNAcentral. Lineage: Eukaryota; Metazoa; Chordata; Mammalia; Carnivora; Felidae.
AUGUUCCUAAUACCUUCUCCUCUGCCUGCCCCCUCCCUGGCUGGGGGAGGGGGGGUCCUCUCUGCUCUGCUUGGGGGGAGGGUGGUGGCAGGUCCAGUGACCAGGAGCUGGUGCGGAUGGGAUCUGUUCCGGGCACCACUCCUCAAUCCCCGGGAGGAUUCUGGCGGCUGGCGUUCAGGCCUGGGUUCUGCCCCUGCCUUUCCCGUGCACGGUCAUCACCUCUUCGGGCCGCGUGUUCUCCUGCAUGAGAGGAGGGAGGCAUUGGGGGCCUCUGGGCACCGUCUGAUCACCCCAUCUAUGAAUGAGCACACAUCUGUGCCGGACGCUCGUGUGAAUCCUGGGGACACAGCUGGGGACACAGGUGAGGUCCUCACCCAGACCAUGAUCAGUGUGGUGUGUAACUGCUUGGGUGGGGGGGAUCUCUGGCAGAGCUGAGUGAGGGGAUGGCCAGUAGAGACUGAGCUCUCAGAGGAGAUGACAGCUGAAAGGGACAAGAUGUGAAGGGCAGCACCAUAGGGGUGGCCUGGGGCAAGAGUGUCCAUGCAGCAGGAGUAGCAAGUACAAAGGCCCUGGGGUGGGAUGGACCCUGACUGUUGGAGGAACAGCAUGCAGGUGUUCCAUGCUGUGGCAGCUUGGUGGCGAGUGGAGGGAGCCUAGAGGAGCCAGCCCUGGCCCAGUCAGAUGGCCUUGGGACCAAGGUGCCACCAUGAAGGAUUCUGCAUGGAGAGGGGAGGGCUCUCACUCUUGCCUUCCAGGGGUCACUGUGGCUGCUGGGGUGGGUGGUCGGAGGGGCAUCCUCCCCAGGACGCGGAGAUAGUACCAGAGCAAGCCUCCAACCUGGGAGGAGAGGCUGGGCUGAGGGUGGGGCUGGUGCAUGGACCGGCAUCAGGGGACCCUGGCGUUUCCACAUCUACCUCUCUGGUGCCCUCUGUCCUGGGCCCUCUCCCCAUGCCACCACUGGCCUGGCCAUGAGCUCCCUAGUUAAUGCUGAUCCGGAAGGGGACUCCCUCACCAGUCCCCAGGGGGGCACCUUACAAAUCUCCCCGGAGGCUGGCUGGUGGCCGAAAUGGCACAGGCACCUGGCCCGCCCACGGGGCACAGAGAAACGGAGGAGGGUCGGGCCUCCACCAGCCCUUACAGAGGCAGCUGCCGCUUUCUGAGCAGCUCUGCGUGUGGGCCUGCCCUCGGGGCGCGAGGUCCCGGGGGGCCUGAUGACCCCCUCCAGGAGCCCACCUUCAGGGCCCCCCUGGUCUGACCCCAAUGCCGCCGCUGGGUGACUGCUAUCUAGGCCCCAUCCUCCCAUCAACCCCGCCCGCGCGUCUGGUGCUCAGCACCUACGGACAAAUGGAGACGUCGAGGCAUCCGGAAGUUUCGUAAAACCCUUGGCCUCCAGACCCCUUCUCGGCCCCCGCGCACCUCGCCCUUUCCAUCCUCA